Molecule: ribosomal RNA, 481 nt
Filed under: uncultured bacterium
Lineage: Bacteria
Description: partial 16S ribosomal RNA
Rfam family: Bacterial small subunit ribosomal RNA
Source: RNAcentral
GACGAACGCUGGCGGCGUGCUUAACACAUGCAAGUCGAACGAUGAAGGAGAGCUUGCUCUCCGGAUUAGUGGCGAACGGGUGAGUAACACGUGACUAACCUGCCCCUUUCUCUGGGAUAACGCUCCGAAAGGAGUGCUAAUACCGGAUACGAACUCUGAACACAUGUUCGGAGUUGGAAAGUUUUUCGGAAAGGGAUGGAGUCGCGGCCUAUCAGCUUGUUGGUGAGGUAAUGGCUCACCAAGGCGACGACGGGUAGCCGGCCUGAGAGGGCGACCGGCCACACUGGAACUGAGACACGGCCCAGACUCCUACGGGAGGCAGCAGUGGGGAAUAUUGCACAAUGGGCGAAAGCCUGAUGCAGCGACGCCGCGUGAGGGAUGAAGGUCUUCGGAUUGUAAACCUCUCUCAGUAGGGACGAAGCGAAAGUGACGGUACCUAAAGAAGAAGCACCGGCUAACUACGUGCCAGCCGCCGCAGUAA